RNAcentral lists this long non-coding RNA (577 nucleotides) under Homo sapiens (human). RNAcentral describes it as "HSALNT0231449". Lineage: Eukaryota; Metazoa; Chordata; Mammalia; Primates; Hominidae. The record is from RNAcentral.
UUUCCAUCUGGCAUUUCUCCCCAGAGCCUAGUCCAGUGUCUGAGUUGUCCCUAAGGAGCUCGCAACCCAGAUAAUGAGAUAAACCCAGAGAUGAAUCUAUUGGAGAAACUGCAAAGCAAUAAAUGAAACGAUUGCCAGGUCAGAACACUGUAACUCCAUAGUAAGCCAUUGCCCAGUGGAAAUAGAUGACUGUUUCUCUCACUCGGUCUUGCUCCGUUGCCCAGACUGAAGAGCAGUGGCUCAUUCUUGGCUCACUGUAGCCUCAACUUUCCAGGGCUCAAGCGAUCCUCCCACCUCACCCUCCAAAGUAGCUGGGACUACAGGCACAUGCCACCACGCCCGGCUAAUUUUUUUAUUUUUCGUAGAAACGUGGUUUAAUCCGUUGUCCAGGACGGUCUUGAAUUCCUGGGUGCAAGUGGUCCUCCCACAUCAACCUCCCAAAAUGCUGGGAUUACCGGCAUGAACCGCCAUGCCUGGCCUAAUUUUUAAUUUUACAUAUUGUGAUAUGUUAGUACAUUUUAUUAUUAUUUUCCGGUUUUUUUUUCUGAUUUGAGAAACAUUAAAAUUAAGACUUUUU